Cinara cedri is the source of this 680-nucleotide non-coding RNA. NCBI's taxonomy places the organism in Eukaryota, Metazoa, Arthropoda, Insecta, Hemiptera, Aphididae. The record is from the annotation of a GenBank genome assembly.
UGACCACUAUAACGGCGAGCCGUUGAUUUUCUACGAUUUGUUGAAGCUAUGACGAUAAUUUAAAUUGUUUCCAUCGCCACUGUACUUAUUAACAGUAUCGGUUUAUUUUUCCACGAACAAGUAAUCGCGGUAUUAUUUAGUUAUUACCUAUAGUUUGUUUUUUUUAUUCAAUACAUUUCAAUUAUUAUUUUUAGUAGUGGCAAUGCAAACGAUUUGUGUAAACAUCAAAAUAUCGUGGCAAACCAUUAUUAGGUAUAGUAAACAUUUGUAACGCCGACAUUUUGUUUCGGAAUGAACGUAUAAAAUGGUCAUCUUUGAUUUCGUUUACACACACACACACACACCCCGAAAUAAAACAAGAACUUUAGCGCCAGUCGGUUCUAGUAACUCGGCGACGCAUCAACAGUGUAAACCGUUUAUUUAAUUAAUAAACCGUGCCGAUUGUAAGACUGUCGAAACUAUCUCACCAUAAUGGGACACACUGACAUAUUGUUAUGUUUCGUUUUGUUGUUUGGGAUUUCGCGUGAAAACUGCUCGUAGGCAUAUUCCGGGACAGAAUAUUGAUGGCCAAACGGAAAACACGAGCAUCGCCGUUUCCGUCGGAAAUACGCAGAUAUAUUGUGCACGGUGUAGGUAAAUUUCGGAGUCUUUGACAUAAUACGUCGCCGACGAUGAGCAUU